AGGCCAUGGUGUGGGCAAACUCUUAAUAGCUCUUUAUAUCUCUCUCCCAAGCUUCAAAAAGUGAUUCUCCUUGGUUUUGAGUAAAUCUAGUUAUUUGGUUUUGAAGAAC
Molecule: small nucleolar RNA, 109 nt
Organism: Lathyrus oleraceus (garden pea)
Lineage: Eukaryota; Viridiplantae; Streptophyta; Magnoliopsida; Fabales; Fabaceae
Source: RefSeq, a predicted model, not a curated record